RNAcentral lists this non-coding RNA (108 nucleotides) under Escherichia coli. Its description in RNAcentral is "antisense sRNA RprA". It matches the Rfam family "RprA RNA". From Rfam's summary of the family: Translational regulation of the stationary phase sigma factor RpoS is mediated by the formation of a double-stranded RNA stem-loop structure in the upstream region of the rpoS messenger RNA, occluding the translation initiation site. Clones carrying rprA (RpoS regulator RNA A) increased the translation of RpoS. Lineage: Bacteria; Pseudomonadati; Pseudomonadota; Gammaproteobacteria; Enterobacterales; Enterobacteriaceae. The record is from RNAcentral. RNAcentral also lists the same sequence under 2 other names.
ACGGUUAUAAAUCAACAUAUUGAUUUAUAAGCAUGGAAAUCCCCUGAGUGAAACAACGAAUUGCUGUGUGUAGUCUUUGCCCAUCUCCCACGAUGGGCUUUUUUUUGC